CCCUGGUAGCUCAAGUGGUAAAGAAUCUGCCUGCAAUGCAGGAGAUCCAGGUUUGAUCCCUGGGUCAGGAA
This is a non-coding RNA of Ovis aries (sheep), 71 nucleotides long. NCBI's taxonomy places the organism in Eukaryota, Metazoa, Chordata, Mammalia, Artiodactyla, Bovidae. The record is from Rfam.